UCCGUAGUGGCUCAGAGGGUACAGCGUCUGCCUGCAAUGCAGGUAGAUCUGGGUUCGAUCCCUGGGUCAGGAA
Transfer RNA from Ovis aries (sheep), 73 nucleotides. It matches the Rfam family "tRNA". From Rfam's summary of the family: Transfer RNA (tRNA) molecules are approximately 80 nucleotides in length. Their secondary structure includes four short double-helical elements and three loops (D, anti-codon, and T loops). Further hydrogen bonds mediate the characteristic L-shaped molecular structure. tRNAs have two regions of fundamental functional importance: the anti-codon, which is responsible for specific mRNA codon recognition, and the 3' end, to which the tRNAs corresponding amino acid is attached (by aminoacyl-tRNA synthetases). tRNAs cope with the degeneracy of the genetic code in two manners: having more than one tRNA (with a specific anti-codon) for a particular amino acid; and 'wobble' base-pairing, i.e. permitting non-standard base-pairing at the 3rd anti-codon position. The record is from Rfam. NCBI's taxonomy places the organism in Eukaryota, Metazoa, Chordata, Mammalia, Artiodactyla, Bovidae.